Molecule: long non-coding RNA, 130 nt
Organism: Amblyraja radiata (thorny skate)
Lineage: Eukaryota; Metazoa; Chordata; Chondrichthyes; Rajiformes; Rajidae
Exons: 3
Source: RefSeq, a predicted model, not a curated record
AGCUCCUCCUUUAUUCUCACCUCCUCCCCCCCCCCAUAUGGGCAUAUGGACUAAAUAGGGUGAGGAAGCAAAGAAAAAGGGUGAUAAAAGGUUGGGUAUAUUGCAAGAUGAAAGGUGGGUUUGAGUGAUC